This 509-nucleotide ribosomal RNA is filed under the name uncultured Oscillospiraceae bacterium. Its description in RNAcentral is "bacterial SSU rRNA". It matches the Rfam family "Bacterial small subunit ribosomal RNA", at positions 36 to 507 of the family's 1533-position model. The record is from RNAcentral. Lineage: Bacteria; Bacillati; Bacillota; Clostridia; Eubacteriales; Oscillospiraceae.
CGUCAGGACGUGAACGACUGGCGGCGUUGCGUUAACUACGAACUAGCAAGGUCGAACGGGGUAGGCCGUUUGUAAAGAGGAUUACGUCCGAACUUGUAAGAGGUUACCGUAGUGGCGGACGGGUGAGUAACGCGUGAGUAACCUGCCUUGGAGUGGGAAGUAACACAUCGAAAGAUGUGCUAAUACCGCAUAAUGCAGUUGGCCGCAUGGCUCUGACUGCCAAAGAUUUAUCGCUCUGAGAUGGACUCGCGUCUGAUUAGCUGGUUGGCGGGGUAACGGCCCACCCAAGGCGACGAUCAGUAGCCGGACUGAGAGGUUGACCGGCCACAUUGAGACUGAGACACGGCCCAGACUCCUACGGGAGGCAGCAGUGGGGAAUAUUGGGCAAUGGGCGCAAGCCUGACCCAGCAACGCCGCGUGAAGGAAGAAGGCUUUCGGGUUGUAAACUUCUUUUAUCAGGGACGAAGCAAGUGACGGUACCUGAUGAAUAAGCCACGGCUAACUACGUG